This 273-nucleotide long non-coding RNA is filed under the name Homo sapiens (human). RNAcentral's name for it is "novel transcript". Lineage: Eukaryota; Metazoa; Chordata; Mammalia; Primates; Hominidae. The record is from RNAcentral.
AUCCGCAUCUCCAUUGGCAGCCUGAGCCGGUUGCGCAACAAGUGCGCUGUGUCCAAGGACCUCACCCAGCAGGAGAUACGGACCCUGGAGCCCUCUCAUCUUGUGGGUGAGGAAACCGAAGGCCUGAGGGAGAACUGACUUGCCUGGAACCCCUGUUAAGGAGAAUUAACAAAGUGUGGUUAUUAAAGGAGCACUGAGUUGGGAGUGAGACCUGGAGGCCCACACCCUUGGUUAAGACAUAAUACCACCUUGAGUCUGGCCUGUUGACUGAGG